AGAUGUUGAUAUAUAAAAUUAUUUCCUAAUAAUAUGUCUCCAUGCAUAGCAGGAAAACAUAAUAUUUUGGGUAUUACAAAUUGUAUAAGCCCAAAUAUGCCCGGCCCAAAUAAAUAUACAUCAGGCCCAACUAAACCCAAUAAGGCCCAAAACUAGUAACCCUAGCACUAGCCCAAAAUACAACCCUAGUGCAGCAAGCUUAACGCUGCAGCCGCCUCACCCCAACAACGCAGUGUUCUGCACGUUUGCUCUCCCUCGCGCACCUCCGCUAAUGUCGCACAUGCCGCACACGUCUCCUAUGAAUCUGCAACAAGAUCACAAAUAAUUGAUAGCAGAAAAGAAGAUGGCAAGAAUGAGGGGAUUUUUUUUAUUUUAUUUCUUUAAGAUUCGGGUAUAAAACCGAAUGAGGAUUGUGUAAAAAGGGGGAUAUCUGCUAGUUUUUUGGAAUCCAAAAAUAUACAGAAGAAAUUCUAAGAAUACAAAGGUGAAAUCGUGGUUCUGUGUUGCUGCUAUUUCAUUUAUUUCCUGUUUUGUUGUAAAAAAUAAUAAAAGAGAACAGAAACAUAGGAUCUUGAAUGGUCCUUUAUUUUUUUCUUUCUUUCGAUUUCCUUUUUCGAUUUUUUCUUUUUCUUUACUGUUUUUAAAAAAAAAGGGGAGGGGAUCUUACCUGGUACUGUCGCGGUGUCUCCUCUCCGCCGAAAUCGGAGCUUCGGUAUGAAAGGCUGACGAGUGGCGGCACAAAAGAAAAAGAUUUUUUUUAAAAACCUAGCAGAGAGUCUUGGGUUUAUUUUAUUAUUAUUUUUUUCUUUAGCUUUUGUUUGCUGCAGGUUUCAAAAAAAUAAAGAAGAAAAUUUGGUUUAAAUAGAAGGAACAAAACGGCGCCGUUUAGGGUGCCAUGACCCGCGCGUCGACUCGACCCGGAGGGGGGGAAUCCGCGCGUUCUGGCCCUGAGUGUGGAAAUUGCGCGUCUAGCCCUCCCCAUUUUGCGAUGUGUUUAAUCAAGUUUUUUUCCUUUAAAUUCGGCCCAAAUAUUUUGCUCGCGUGACGAUUUAAUCCAUAUCAGUGCGCAGUGCUUGAGUGACUUGGGAAAAUUUCUUUUUAAGUCCUCCUCUCAUGGCGUGCGUAUCAAUUUGGUCCUUCCUGGUGUUUUCUAUUUUUAAACUUGGCCUUUUAACUUCGUUUAGCUUUCAGUUUAAUCCUUAAUGGUCCUUUUUAAGUUUUUUUUUGUAGUUCAUUUUUUAGUUUUUGUUAUUAUUAUUAUUACUAUUAUCAUUAUUAUAUUAUAUAGUAUUAUAAUUAUACUUACAUAUAUACGUAUAUACAUUUAUAUUUCCAUUAUAUUUAAAUAUUUUUUCAUAUUUUAUAAUAUAUAUAUAUGCAUAUAUAGAUAUUGAUAUCCACGUACGCCCUUCAAAAUUAUUGUAAAUAUAUAUUUUUUAUAUAUAUAUGUACAUCUAUAUACACAUUUUCCUAAUUUCUUCAUAUACUAUUAUUAUUUUUGUUUUACUAAAGCAUGUAUACUUAUAUUUUUAUUUUGUAAAUAUAUACACAUCUGAUUAUUUUUUAUUUUUAUUUUUACAAUUUUCAUUACAUAUAUACAUACAUACAUGAUUUUUUUAGAAAUUUUAAUAAUUUUUAUUUUGUUAUACAUAUCUCAUUCAUUAUUUUAUUUUUUAUAUGUAUACUUAUAUAUACUUGUUUUAAUAUGUGCAUAUACAUGUUUUCAAAAUUUAUUUAUGUAUCAUACUUAUAUUUUAAUAAUACAUAUAUGCAUAUAAUUUAAAAUUAAAAUAUUGAUUUUAUGUGAUACAUUAGCAUUUUUCUACACUUUCUAAAGAAAAUGUAUUUUAGUUGCGUCAAAGCAUUAAAAUCAUCAUAUUUUACAAAUUUCCAAAAUAUUUGGCACUCAUGAUUCUCGAGAAAGAUCGUGUCCUAACUGGAUUGCGAUUAUUUUUCGAUGAAUUUAGAAAGCCAAGUAUUUGUUUUGCAAUAAAUUCGCAAAUUUUAAAUAAAAGCUUAUUCUCGGGAAUUCAAAAUGUUGGGUCCUAACUUACUGGUCAUGACAUAUUCUUCUCGAAAUAAGAAUUUUCAAAAGCAAAAGGCAAUAUUCGGGUAUUUUGAAGAUUUAAAAACAUUGUGCCCUAACUCACUGGGUGUGGUGUUUUAUUUCUUUAAAAUAAGAAUGUCUUAUUAUUUUAAUUCGUUCAUGAAAUAAAAAGUUUCCUUUUAAAAUCUUUUCAAAUUUUCGACACUAAGGCAUAAAAAAAUCAAUUUGGUACCAAUUUUGGGCGUUACGAGGGUGCUAAUCCUUCCUCGUGCGUAACUGACUCCCGAACCUGUUUUCUCAAAUUUCGCAGACCAAAAUUAUUUUUAAGGUGGGCCGAUCACACCUUAAUAAAGGAUCGGUGGCGACUCCAAUUUUGUUUUUUAAAGUCGACAACUAAAUUUUUGUUUUUCAAAAAAACGGUUUCGACACAAAUCUUACAUUGUUUAUGUAGAUUGGUAUAUUUCUAGUUUUAUAUUGAAUUAUGGUUUCGUUACCAUCUAUUCCUAUUGCUUUUAUAGGAUUUUUCAUAGGUUCCUAUUUUUUUACAGGAAUAGCAUUUUUUUUGUAACUACUGGUUGUAGCUCCAGUAUCUAAUAAAACAUGUAAAGAAUAUUUUUUAUAUUCUCUAAACUGAAAUGUAAUCUCUAUAUAUGUAUAAUAUUUCCUGGAUUGGAAAUCUGAAAAUGUAAUAAUAUAAUUUUUCCCAAUUUUUAUUUGUUGAAUAAUUGUUUGUACCUUUCCUAUUCUAGAGUUUCUAGAAUUUUCUAACAUAAAUAUAUAAAUUAUUUUAAAAUUUGUUUCUGAUAAUUUUUUAUCAGGAUUUGUUUCCUCUUUAUAACAUAUUUUUAAAUCUUGUUUUUCAAUACUUUUGAUCAUUUUUCUAGCCUCUUUUCUUUUGUUAUAAAAGUUUUUGACUAUAUGACAUUUCUUAACACCUAAAAAACAUUUAGGUUUUCCAGAAGUUUUUCUUCUAGAUUUUUUGUUACCAGUCAAUUUUUUAUUACCUGGUUUCCACUUAACUAAUUUAUACUUCUUAUCUUUCUUUUUAUGCCUAUGAUAAGUAUUAGGACGUAUUGUUUUAUAUCCUAAUAACUUUGCUGAAUUUUUAUUAAUAGUUAAAUUUUUUUAUUUUACUAGUCAAAAUACUGGUUGUAUUUUGAACUUUCUCAAAAUCUAUAUUAAAAGAUAUCAGAUAGUCAUUUGUUUGAAUAUCCGAUUCUAUUUUCCUUUUUUCAUAAGGAUCUGUUGAUUCAGUAUCCAUAGGUUUUGGAAUAUCUAUAUUUUCAUCUUCAGAUGAAGUGUUUUUUUCAUCAGAAUUAUGACUAGUGACUUUUAUGUCUUCAUCCUGAUCUGUUGAAGUUUUUUCUUCAUCAGAUUGAUAACUGGUAGCUUCUAAGUUUUCUGUAUUUUCAAAAUUAUUAGAACCACUACUAUUUGAAGUAUCAUAAUUUAACAUAUAAUGAUAAUUAAACAAAGUAAAUAGAUCUUUAUGUUUUUUCAUAAAGUUCUUCUAUUAACUUUUAAAUAUUCUACCUUUUCUAAUUUAUCAGUACUAUUAAUAAAUUUAUCUUUCCAAUGUUCUAUAAGGUUUUAUAGGAUUGGAAAUCAUAUUUUUGUUGUUUUUCAUAUUUUUUCCGUUUUUUUAUGAUUUUUAUAUUUUUUAGACGAAGUUGAUUCUUCAGGCAAAUCAUUACCUGAUUUAUAUUAUUAUUAUUAUUAUUAUUUAUAACCUGAUCUAAUUUAUUAUUAACACUAGUUAAUAUUUUUUUAGAUUCGCUAUUCAAAUCUAAAUUUUUAACUUCUCCUAGAUUAUUUACUUUUUGUUCUAUAUUACUAACCUUAUUAUAUAAUUUGCCAAAAUAAAAAAGAAGUUAUAUCUACUAAACUAUUUAUACCCUUACUCAGAGAUGAAAUGUUAUUUUAGUUCUUAGGGUCUAUAUGCAUAGUAUGAUCACAAGUUUUAUCUUUAUGUAAACACUCGAUUUGUUCCAUUUUACUUGUCCCUGGUACAUAAGACUGGCCUGUUAUCUUAACGUCUUCACUCAAACGCCUAACGUCCUCCCUGGACUCAAUGGCAACAAGAAGACAUGCUAACAAAUAUAGGUUUUGGGUCAAAUAACAGUGAAACAAACAGAACUGUGAAUUAAAGAUAAAAACUUACAAUGAAUACUAUGAUAUUAUUUCUCCAAGAAAUCGUUACACCGACACCUCUGAUACCAAUAGGGGGAAGGAAGGUAGAGUGCGAUCUACAAGCGGAAGACUAUAGACUUUUUAAUUUACAAAAAGGAAGGCUAUUACAAAAGGAAAAGUAAGCUAAGUAUUUUAAAAAAUACAGGAGAGAAUUUGAUAUUUU
Molecule: long non-coding RNA, 4400 nt
Filed under: Gossypium barbadense (sea-island cotton)
Lineage: Eukaryota; Viridiplantae; Streptophyta; Magnoliopsida; Malvales; Malvaceae
Description: long non-coding RNA (GBAR_LNC021462)
Source: RNAcentral